AUGGCAGCGCCAACGCCUACCAUGAACAAGGUCAUGUCGAGCAUCGCGAACCUUGCGCAGCUCCUGCCCACGGGCACGGUGCUGACUUACCAGGCGUUGGCCCCGUCCUUCACCAACUACGGCAAGUGCGAGACCUCCAACCAGUGGCUCACCACGGCGCUGGUUGCUGUCCUCGCCUCCGCCUGCCUCUUCUUCUCCUUCACCGACAGCGUCGUGGGUCGCCGCGACGGAAAGCUAUAUUACGGCUUCGCCACAUUGCGUGGCUUCAACGUGUUCAACUUCUCCAGCGAGGAGGAGAAGCAGGAGUGGAAUGAUCUCGACCAAUUUCGGAGGCUCCGCCUUCAGCCACUGGAUUUCGUGCAUGCCUUCUUCACGGCGGUGGUUUUCCUCAUAAUGGCGUUCAGCGAUGUGGGGCUGCAAAACUGCUUCUUCCCGGAUGCCAGCAGGAACACACAGCAGCUGCUCAAGAACCUGCCAUUGGGAAUGGCGUUUCUGUCCAGCUUUGUGUUCAUCAUCUUCCCCACCAAAAGGAAGGGCAUUGGAUUCAAUGACACGACUCCUCGUCAGAAGGUCGUCCAUCCCUUGAACAAAAUACAUCCACUGACCAACGAGGACGACAAUGAGAUAACAGCUGCCCGCACAGCAACGCCAAUGACUACCAAGGGGCCUGCACCGGCCACGGUCAUGUCGAGCGUCGCGAACCUGGCGCAGCUCCUGCCGACAGGCACAGUGCUGGCCUACCAGGCACUGUCCCCGUCCUUCACCAACCACGGCAAGUGCGAGACCUCCAACCAGUGGCUCAGUGGGACGCUGGUCGCUGUCCUUGCCUCCGCGUGCCUCUUCUUCUCCUUCACCGAUAGCAUCGUUGGUCGCCGCAAUGGAAAGCUAUAUUACGGCUUUGCCACACUGUGUGGCUUCAACGUGUUCAACUUCUCCAGCGAGGAGGAGAGCGACGUGGGGCUGCAGAACUGCUUCUUCCCGGACGCCAACAGGAACACCGAAGAGCUGCUCAAGAAUCUGCCAAUGGGCAUGGCGUUCCUGUCCAGCUUUGUGUUCAUCAUCUUCCCCACCAAGAGGAAGAGCAUUGGAUUCUCUGACAACGCACCUCCCCAGAAGGUCGUCCAUCCCUUAAAUUGA
RNAcentral lists this ribosomal RNA (1137 nucleotides) under Triticum aestivum (bread wheat). Its description in RNAcentral is "partial small subunit ribosomal RNA". Lineage: Eukaryota; Viridiplantae; Streptophyta; Magnoliopsida; Poales; Poaceae. The record is from RNAcentral.